RNAcentral lists this transfer RNA (97 nucleotides) under Bacillota bacterium. RNAcentral's name for it is "tRNA-Sec". It matches the Rfam family "Selenocysteine transfer RNA". Lineage: Bacteria; Bacillati; Bacillota. The record is from RNAcentral.
GGGGGCGGAUGGGGUACUGGUGUCCUUCCCGGUCUUCAAAACCGUGUGCGUCGGCUGGAUGCCGAUGGCUGUGUUCGAUUCGCAGACGCCCCCGCCA